This 218-nucleotide long non-coding RNA is filed under the name Lathyrus oleraceus (garden pea). RNAcentral's name for it is "Pisum sativum (pea) long non-coding RNA (PSAT_LNC039234)". Lineage: Eukaryota; Viridiplantae; Streptophyta; Magnoliopsida; Fabales; Fabaceae. The record is from RNAcentral.
UCUUAUCAAACGUUACCUCUUUCAAAUGCGCAAACGUCAGUGCAUCAUUACCCCAAAUUCCAAGGUCAUUAAAUAGCCACUAAACUGGGAUUUGAGAUUUUAUUAAUCAUAGUUUUUUUCGUUUCAAGGCUAUUCAUUGGUUCCAAACAUGCCAUCUGGCCACGUUCCUGGGUGAAACUUUUCGCCACCUUUUCUUUGCCUAUUUAAGCCUCUUCUUC